RNAcentral lists this ribosomal RNA (520 nucleotides) under uncultured soil bacterium. RNAcentral describes it as "bacterial SSU rRNA". It matches the Rfam family "Bacterial small subunit ribosomal RNA", at positions 144 to 698 of the family's 1533-position model. The record is from RNAcentral.
UAACCCAGGGAAACUUGGGCUAAUACCGGAUACGCCCUCCGGGGGAAAGAUUCAUCGCCGAAAGAUCGGCCCGCGUCGGAUUAGCUAGUUGGUGGGGUAAUGGCUCACCAAGGCGACGAUCCGUAGCUGGUCUGAGAGGAUGACCAGCCACACUGGGACUGAGACACGGCCCAGACUCCUACGGGAGGCAGCAGUGGGGAAUAUUGGACAAUGGGCGAAAGCCUGAUCCAGCCAUGCCGCGUGGGUGAAGAAGGCCUUAGGGUUGUAAACCCCUUUCAGCGGGGAAGAUAAUGACGGUACCCGCAGAAGAAGUCCCGGCUAACUCCGUGCCAGCAGCCGCGGUAAUACGGAGGGGACUAGCGUUGUUCGGAAUUACUGGGCGUAAAGCGCACGUAGGCGGAUUUGUAAGUCAGGGGUGAAAUCCCGGGGCUCAACCUCGGAACUGCCUUUGAUACUGCAAAUCUCGAGUCCGGAAGAGGUGAGUGGAAUUCCUAGUGUAGAGGUGAAAUUCGUAGAUAUU